Molecule: ribosomal RNA, 253 nt
Filed under: uncultured bacterium
Lineage: Bacteria
Description: partial 16S ribosomal RNA
Rfam family: Bacterial small subunit ribosomal RNA
Source: RNAcentral
UACGGAGGGAGCUAGCGUUGUUCGGAAUUACUGGGCGUAAAGCGCACGUAGGCGGCUUUGUAAGUUAGAGGUGAAAGCCCGGAGCUCAACUCCGGAAUUGCCUUUAAGACUGCAUCGCUUGAAUCCAGGAGAGGUGAGUGGAAUUCCGAGUGUAGAGGUGAAAUUCGUAGAUAUUCGGAAGAACACCAGUGGCGAAGGCGGCUCACUGGACUGGUAUUGACGCUGAGGUGCGAAAGCGUGGGGAGUAAACAGG